This 449-nucleotide ribosomal RNA is filed under the name uncultured bacterium. RNAcentral describes it as "partial 16S ribosomal RNA". It matches the Rfam family "Bacterial small subunit ribosomal RNA", at positions 29 to 523 of the family's 1533-position model. The record is from RNAcentral.
AACGAACGCUGGCGGCAUGCCUAACACAUGCAAGUCGAACGAGAUCUUCGGGUCUAGUGGCGCACGGGUGCGUAACGCGUGGGAAUCUGCCCUUUGGUUCGGAAUAACAGUUGGAAACGACUGCUAAUACCGGAUGAUGACGAAAGUCCAAAGAUUUUUCGCCAGAGGAUGAGCCCGCGGAGGAUUAGCUAGUUGGUGUGGUAAAGGCGCACCAAGGCGACGAUCCUUAGCUGGUCUGAGAGGAUGAUCAGCCACACUGGGACUGAGACACGGCCCAGACUCCGACGGGAGGCAGCAGUGGGGAAUAUUGUACAAUGGGCGAAAGCCUGAUCCAGCAAUGCCGCGUGAGUGAUGAAGGCCUUAGGGUUGUAAAGCUCUUUUACCCGGGAUGAUAAUGACAGUACCGGGAGAAUAAGCUCCGGCUAACUCCGUGCCAGCCGCCGCAGUAA